This is a non-coding RNA of Triticum aestivum (bread wheat), 97 nucleotides long. NCBI's taxonomy places the organism in Eukaryota, Viridiplantae, Streptophyta, Magnoliopsida, Poales, Poaceae. The record is from Rfam.
UAAAUACUCCCUCCGUCCCAAAAUUCUUGUUUUAGACUUGAUACAUCCGUAUCUAGACAAAUCUAAGACAAGAAUUUUGGGACGGAGGGAGUAUUUG